Molecule: ribosomal RNA, 490 nt
Filed under: uncultured bacterium
Lineage: Bacteria
Description: partial 16S ribosomal RNA
Rfam family: Bacterial small subunit ribosomal RNA
Source: RNAcentral
AUUGAACGCUGGCGGCAUGCCUUACACAUGCAAGUCGAACGGCAGCAUGAUCUAGCUUGCUAGAUUGAUGGCGAGCGGCGAACGGGUGAGUAAUACAUCGGAACGUGCCCUGUAGUGGGGGAUAACUAGUCGAAAGAUUAGCUAAUACCGCAUACGACCUGAGGGUGAAAGUGGGGGACCGCAAGGCCUCAUGCUAUAGGAGCGGCCGAUGUCUGAUUAGCUAGUUGGUGAGGUAAAGGCUCACCAAGGCGACGAUCAGUAGCUGGUCUGAGAGGACGAUCAGCCACACUGGGACUGAGACACGGCCCAGACUCCUACGGGAGGCAGCAGUGGGGAAUUUUGGACAAUGGGCGAAAGCCUGAUCCAGCAAUGCCGCGUGUGUGAAGAAGGCCUUCGGGUUGUAAAGCACUUUUGUCCGGAAAGAAAUGGCUCUGGUUAAUACCUGGGGUCGAUGACGGUACCGGAAGAAUAAGGACCGGCUAACUACGUG